This 490-nucleotide ribosomal RNA is filed under the name uncultured bacterium. RNAcentral describes it as "partial 16S ribosomal RNA". It matches the Rfam family "Bacterial small subunit ribosomal RNA", at positions 28 to 507 of the family's 1533-position model. The record is from RNAcentral.
GAUGAACGCUAGCGAUAGGCUUAACACAUGCAAGUCGAGGGGCAGCAUGGUCUUAGCUUGCUAAGACUGAUGGCGACCGGCGCACGGGUGCGUAACGCGUAUGCAACUUGCCUCACAGAGGGGGAUAACCCGUCGAAAGACGGACUAAUACCGCGUACACCCCAUCUUGGGCAUCCAAGGUCGAGGAAAUGAAAUUCGCUGUGAGAUAGGCAUGCGUCCCAUUAGCUAGUUGGUGAGGUAACGGCCCACCAAGGCGACGAUGGGUAGGGGAACUGAGAGGUUGAACCCCCACACUGGUACUGAGACACGGACCAGACUCCUACGGGAGGCAGCAGUGAGGAAUAUUGGUCAAUGGGCGAGAGCCUGAACCAGCCAAGUCGCGUGAAGGAUGACUGUCUUAUGGAUUGUAAACUUCUUUUAGACGGGAAUAACAAGAGUCACGUGUGACUCCCUGCAUGUACCGUAUGAAUAAGCAUCGGCUAACUCCGUG